This 305-nucleotide ribosomal RNA is filed under the name uncultured bacterium. RNAcentral describes it as "bacterial SSU rRNA". It matches the Rfam family "Bacterial small subunit ribosomal RNA", at positions 338 to 659 of the family's 1533-position model. The record is from RNAcentral.
CCUACGGGGCGCAGCAGUGGGGAAUAUUGGGCAAUGGGCGCAAGCCUGACCCAGCAACGCCGCGUGAGUGAAGAAGUAUUUCGGUAUGUAAAGCUCUGUCAGCAGGGAAGAAGAAAGACGGUACCUGACCAAGAAGCCCCGGCUAACUACGUGCCAGCAGCCGCGGUAAUACGUAGGGGGCAAGCGUUAUCCGGAUUUACUGGGUGUAAAGGGAGCGUAGACGGCAGGGCAAGUCUGGAGUGAAAGGCAGGGGCCCAACCCCUGGACUGCUCUGGAAACUGUCCGGCUGGAGUGCAGGAGAGGGA